This 77-nucleotide transfer RNA is filed under the name Finegoldia magna. Its description in RNAcentral is "tRNA-His". It matches the Rfam family "tRNA". Rfam says of the family: Transfer RNA (tRNA) molecules are approximately 80 nucleotides in length. Their secondary structure includes four short double-helical elements and three loops (D, anti-codon, and T loops). Lineage: Bacteria; Bacillati; Bacillota; Tissierellia; Tissierellales; Peptoniphilaceae. RNAcentral also lists the same sequence under 20 other names. The record is from RNAcentral.
GUGGAUGUAGCCUAGUUGGUUAGGGCGUCAGUUUGUGGCACUGAAGAUCGAGAGUUCGAAUCUCUUCAUCCACCCCA